This 305-nucleotide ribosomal RNA is filed under the name uncultured bacterium. RNAcentral describes it as "bacterial SSU rRNA". It matches the Rfam family "Bacterial small subunit ribosomal RNA", at positions 334 to 637 of the family's 1533-position model. The record is from RNAcentral.
UACUCCUACGGGGCGCAGCAGUGAGGAAUAUUGGUCAAUGGGCGAGAGCCUGAACCAGCCAAGUCGCGUGAGGGACGACGGCCCUACGGGUUGUAAACCUCUUUUGCCGGGGGACAAACGGCGGCACGCGUGCCGUCCUGAGGGUACCCGGAGAAAAAGCAUCGGCUAACUCCGUGCCAGCAGCCGCGGUAAUACGGAGGAUGCGAGCGUUAUCCGGAUUUAUUGGGUUUAAAGGGUGCGUAGGCGGACUGUUAAGUCAGCGGUAAAAGCCCGGGGCUCAACCCCGGCGAGCCGUUGAAACUGGC